RNAcentral lists this ribosomal RNA (1149 nucleotides) under Triticum aestivum (bread wheat). RNAcentral describes it as "partial small subunit ribosomal RNA". Lineage: Eukaryota; Viridiplantae; Streptophyta; Magnoliopsida; Poales; Poaceae. The record is from RNAcentral.
AUGGCGGGGCGCGACGGCGACGUGGCCGUGAUGGCGGUGGCGGAGGAUGAGGCAAGGAGGAGGAGGAGGAGGCAGGCGGAGCGGGUGGCGCUGCCGGCCGGCAUGGUGCUGGUGCAGGUGCUGACGGUGGUGACCAUGCUGCUUUCCAAGGUGGCUCUCAACAGCGGCAUGCACCCGCUCGUCCUGCUCGUCUACCGGAACCUCGUCGGCGCCGCCUUCGUCGCCCCCCUCGCCGUCGUCUUCGAGAGGGAGAUGUGGAAGAAGGUGAACCCGCGAGUGCUGGGCUGGAUUUCCCUCAACGCAACGUUCGGAGUACUGUUGGCGAUGGGGCUGUAUUACUGCGGCUUGCGGACCACCAGCGCCGCCUACGCCGUCAACUUCCUCAACCUCAUCCCCAUCGCUACCUUCAUCAUCGCCGUCGCGCUCCGAGCCGAGAGCCUGUCCCUCGCCGUCUGGGCCAGCAGGAUGAAGCUCCUCGGAGCUGUCGUGGGCGUCGCCGGCACCAUGGUCGUCAGCCUCUGCAAGGGCACCCAUCUCCUGCUGCCGCACCUCCGGCAGUCCUUCCAUGCCAACCCCCACGUCGCCUCGCCCCACGGCGGCCGCGACAUGGCCAUCGGCACGCUUUUCCUGUGCGGGAGCUGCGUCAGCUACGCGCUCUGGUUCGUCGUGCAGGCCAAGGUCGCCAAGGUGUUCCCGUCCCGGUACUGGGCCACGGCACUCACGUGCGCCGCGGGCAGCUUGCAGUCUGCCGUGGCCGCGGCCGUGGCGGUCGUCCUCGCCCCCGCCGGCGACGGACAUGGAUGGGCGCGCACGUGGACGCUGCGCUGGGACCUGCAGCUGGCCACGGUGGUCUACUCCGGGGUGUUCAACACGGGCGUCACGUUCGUGCUCGUGUCGUGGGCGGUGGAGCGCCGCGGCCCGGUGUACCCUCCCAUGUUCAACUCCCUGUCGCUCGUCGCCACCACCGCCGUCGACGCCGUCGUACUCGGAACCGACGUGUACCUCGGCGGCGUGCUGGGAGCGGCGCUCGUCGUCGUCGGCCUCUAUGCGUUUCUGUGGGGCAAAAGCAAGGAGCUCGCGGCCGCCAAAGCGGUCAACGCCGAGCAGGAGCUGCGGUGUGCAGGAGACACCGACGAUGGCAUUGCCUAG